ACCAGAGAACACGGUGUCAAGGGCAGUGAAAGAGCAAAGUCCUGAGACUGGAGUGAGUGAGGGGAUUGGUGUGAGAGAAGGGAACAGAUUACAGGAGUGAGACCUGCAAGCUCCCAAGCACCUUUUGCUCUGUUUUUUGCUGUGAGGUGAAGAACUUCAAUGGUAAUAGCUCUGCCAGUGGGGGAAACAGGAGCUGUAGUGAGUGGAAGAGAAUCAAGGGAUCAUUUUAUUCUUCUAAAAGCCCGUUGUUCCAUGUACAGAAGGUGCAGUCAGUAUGACAAUACUUGGAGAUACUUUGGUAUAUUUUCUAAUAUUCAUAGUGGGAAAAAGUCAAACCAAUCCCCAUUCAUUCCUGGCAGGAUGGAAGUGCCUGUGGCAGCCAGUGCCAAGGACUGAGUAUGCAAAGAACAAAAUGCCACAAAAUGUUUAUCUAACCCUAUAGUCAUAAUGAGCUUAUCCAGUGCUCCAAGCCCUUCUAGGAAGGCAGGUACACAGAGCACACGGAACAGUGUAGUUGGCUGCACACACUGGGGGUGCUUUGUAACUCCAACAAAUGACCUUAGAGACUUAGUUAACCAAGAGCAUGAACAAUAACAGAGCGAAUGCUUACUUUUAAAAAACAGUGCAGCCAAAGUGUAAAAAUGGAUGCAGGAUUUUUAAAACUUCCUAGUAAGAGAAAACACUGUUUGAAGCCAUGGAAGCUGCAUAUCUACUGGCAUGGCAACUAAUGCAGUUUGUUUCUCCAGUAUUGCCCUGCAGUUUCUUUAGAGCUUCAUAUACAAAAUGCCAGUUUCCCUGGCCUGCAGAGGAUAAUUACAUGUGGAAUGCCAAGCACAGCUCCAAACUGGACAUGAUUAGAUGUCCAGCUUUUUCUCAUAGAAAUGCAGUAAAAUCCAUCCGUUCUAGUAAGAGUAUCUGCGAUACCUUGACGUAGAAUUUAACUUCACAAGCCUAAUCAGGAUUCACUUUAGCCAAAAAAAAAAAAAAAAGAAAUCUAAAGGGAGAAGAUACUCUUCCCAUCAGUUACAAGGAGGAUUUAAAUAUGUAGAGGAUGGUGUCAGGCCCAGCUUCCAGGCUGGUGUUAUCCUCCAAGCUGGUGCAGCUGGAGAUGUGAGUGAGCCAGAAAGGCCAGCAAGUCCUGGAUGGAAAUGGGUCUACAGCAAAGGCCAGGCUGCAAAUACAGUUUUGCAUUUUAGCCAAAUACCAGACAGAAAUUGUCACAGCUUAAAUGUUAUGUUUAGCAAAAUGUACUUAGGCCUUGGUUAUUCAUCGUAGCUCACCACAACUAGCUGCUUAGGAAGGCAUGACUCUUAAAAUGUGUUCCUAAUAGGUAAAAUUGUGAAUGUUCCUGUGUGUUAGUCAUGCAUACCGUGGAUCCUGUAAGUACCAUAUUUAACAAGAAAAAAGAUACAUCUACAUUUUCAAGAAGCUUCCACAAUUUCUAAAGAUAAUUGUUUUUAUUUGGCAUUUUUAGGCAUUUUCAAAUGUUUUUAAUGGAAUUAUGGGAUUUAUGCUAUUAGAUCACCCUAUUGGUCUAGACCAAAUGGUCUUUAGUCAUAGCUAAUAUUUGAGCUAGUCAGAAAUACUAAACAGAAAUGCCUUGUGCAAAAAGAAUCCUCAAAUUAUUCAAGGAAAUAUAUGAGUUCUGAUAAAAACUUUAAAACAACUGUAUUUCUCGUGUCCUAGAUAGUUUGUGUUUUGUUUUGUUUUUCCUGAGGAUUUUGAAAUAUAAGAUUAUGGAGGAGAAAGAAAAGAGAUCCUACAAUUAGUGAACUCAGAUGUGGAGGAAUGAGAUUCAAGCAUAAUUUAUGCAGACAGAGUUUUGACACAUAGGCAGGAAAAGAAAAUAUAAUUAUACAUUACAAAAAUUACUGGAUAAGAAAAUGAGUAAUUUGAUACAGAUUUACUGUGUAAAAUGUGAGGUGUAAUAUUUGUAGUGAAACAUUUAUAUAAAUUAAAGCUGUGUGUAUAUUUCUGUACCCAUGAUGAAGGUGACCUUGAUUUAAGUCAUCUAAAAAAGAACAUUUAAAUAUGUAAAUAAGAGAUGAACUAAGUUUAGAGAGGGUUAUCAAAAAUGUCUGUUAUCUUUGAACAUGAACAUAUGCUCACCAUGCUAAUUCUGUAGUCUCCUUAGAUCAAAUGCUGGUAUAUUUCAUUGGUUGGCAUUGCUUUAAAUUUUGACUUCAGAUUUCAUCCCCAGUUUUCCUUUUUUGUGUAUUUUUUUUUCUUUCAUCAAAGGCCAAAGAAGGGCCAUCUGAAGGGAGAAAUCUUACUGUAUUCCUCUAUUAGACUUCAAAUGUUGCAUCUUGCUGUUAAAUACAUAGGUGUCUCACAGUUGUUGAUGGCUAUAAGCAUUUGAAGACUAAUCAGUCAUUGUUUUAGGAGUUUUUAUUUCUCACAAAAGAAAACAAUGUGAUUCCACAGAUGGAAACAAAUUCGUCAGUUCCCAGUUGUACAAGAAACUUUACUGCAGGUUUCCUCCUCAUAGCUUACAGAGACAGGCUGCAUGAUACAACGAUAGGAUGAAGUUUGACUGCUGUUUUAUAAAUCUCAUUACCAUUUUUUUUCUUGAAGAUGAAGAGGAUACUGUGGUGAGUGGUUUAUGUUUUCAUUUCUUACACAAUCCACACAACAUUUUUCUACUAGUUUACCCACUUGCAUCUCUGUCUUCUGUGCCCCUCGAGAGCCCUUUCAUUAAGGUGCAAAUGACUUCCUAAAAUGAUGAAAGCACCAUUAUCACCCUUCUAUUCAUUUAGGUGCACAGGAAGGGAACUGGAAUGGCAUUUAGCUAAACUCCUCCUUUAAUAUAAAAAGAUAACAUUAACGAAAGAAUCUCUGCAGAUCAUUAGUCUGAUUAUUCUCUAAUGUAUACUCCCUUGAGUUUUGUUUGCCAGAACAGUGUGAGAUAAAUGGCAGGCACAUCUGUGAACAGACAUUAGAAGUUUUCAUUCAUUGCUCACCUCUCUCAGCUGAUCCAGCAGAUUAUUCACAUACAUUCUUAUCUUCAAACUGACAAAUAGCCCCUGUCUGUAUCCUGUAUGGCUGAAUCCCUACAGAACAGGACACUUAGGAGUAAAUUGUUUUGGAAGACUGCUGACUUGUAUUUGAUGAAUAAAAACCACAGGAGACCCUAAACAUUGUAGCGUGAAUCCCCAAAUUCUUUAUUUUCCACAGAGCAGGCAGCUGCUUUGUUUUGCAUUGUCCACACUGUGUUCCCACAUGGCUCCUGCUGGAAUGAUGUGAGCACAGUACACCGGAGUACCUGGUAAAAAGCCUGAAGUAAUGUUGUAAAAAGAUGUCACAAUAUUUCACUCGAGAAAAACUGUUCUGAUUUUUUAUUCUUCUGAGUUGACAGUAUUUUGAAUUUUGGAAAAAAAAAAAUAAAAUAUUUGCUCUUUGAAUGGAAUUAGUUAUCCCUACAGGGAUUUUUGGUGUGUAAGUAUAUGCUACUUCACUAAGUAAAUUGUCCUGCUGGCAUAUCUGUAAUGUACUCCUUUGAAUUUAAAUUUGCCUAGCAUUAGCUACUAGCCGUUGCAUGAAAUUACAUUUUUUCCUGUUCUCUAUACCAACCGUAAAAAUGUACAUCAGUCUCUGAAAAUUUUACAAGAGCAGUUUGCAAGAUCAGCCAGGCUACUGGUCAUUACACCAAUGUUACAAAUCUUAAAGCUUUUACAAAUAGCUUUUGAUACCAGAGACAAAAGUAAUGGUUAUUGGGAGUUACUGGGAAGCUUGCCUUCAUAACAUGGACUCAAAGUACAAUCUUGUUACCAGCCCAUGUGCAAAUAAAAUAAAACAAAACAAGUAAGCUCCAACAUCUCCAAAUAAACUUAACUCUGAUAUUCUGUUGUCUUUGUGCUUUAGCACUAGAACUGGCAACGCCUCUCUAACACAGGGCUGGAUUUUUUGGUUGACUAACAGGCAGUUGUUCUUGAUUAAGGUUGCACUCUCAUCUUGGAUGCUAUAUGAAUUUACAGACAGAUAACAAAUAUUUGUGGAAAAUGGCUUGGCAUUUUUCCAUUACAGCUAAUAGGAUUAAAGAGGUGAUAAACUGCCCACUGGAGAUUUUGAUGCCUCUGAAUAAAGAAGACAACCUGCAAGCAAUACUUGCAAUUCAGCCAUUGCUUUUUUCAGUGGAACCUUGAGUGGAUGACAGUGCUGUUUCUUUUUCACCACCUGCAAUUUCCACUACUGUUUUUACAGACUGAUCCAAACAGUAUGUCAGAAGCUGGAGGAGACAAGGAGUCGGAAUCGAUGUCCACUUUUCAUAGAAAGGGAAGUUUGGCAAGUUAGCCCCUGACACUUGUUCAAAUGCUUGUUCUCAACCCGAGGAACAUGUAAGCUAAACACCUGUACGACCAUGGCUUCCACUGAGGUGUUCAGCCCCUGCAAACAGGUAGCUGGAGGUCACCCCUGCGCAGGGAACAGCACAGUACCUGGAAUCAAUGAGCAGCUGCCAAUGCCCGUGACCCUCUCCAGCUCCUAGCAAGGCAGAGACCAUCAGACUGUAUCAGAGCUCCAGCACCAGACAACAAAGGAAAUAAAAGAACACAAGUCAGGAAGAAUGAUGAGCAAAUAUAUUGAAUAGCUUGUCAAGAGAAAAGAAAAAACAAGCAAGCCUUGAGCUGGAAAAGAGAUAACUGAAGUUGGUACGAGACAGAAGACCAAAACCUGCAAGAUUCUGCUCCAGGUCCACUUUUCUAAGCUCAGAGAGGAACUUGUGGCAUAGGUGGCUGUCCAGCUGUGGGGUUCAGAUGUCAGAUUCCUGUGCCAACACAACUCUUCUCCAGCUGGGCUCUGGCUUUGUCCUUCCUCUGGCUCACCCACUGUUGGACAGGUGAUGGUAGAUGUCUAAGGACAGUCAGGAAUAACAAAUGCUGCAUUGAACACAUGAAAGUUCCUCUAAUGAGUCCCUAUUGUAAUUCCAUCAUCUGGAAAAAUGCAUGGAUUAAAUACUACUUGCCACAUAGAUUAAUAUUUUUUGGAGUAUUUAUUGGCAAGAAAAAUAGACUAGCAGGCUAGCUGAAUUUUAUUCAUAGCAUAUAAACUUGUUCUACAAUUGUAGUCACUAUUAAAAAGUCAACAAAAGGCUAUAGUAGUACUUGAGCUUCUCUAGCAAUAUCCUCUCUCGCAUUAGACAUGCCUUACUUUCCCUUUGUUGUCCAAGUAUUAUUUGUAUAGUGUUCCACUGUGCUUUGAAUAGUUCUACAGCUGCUUUCUCAGAUUAAUUAAGAAUAGAAUUACCUUUUAUUAAACAAAAGCUAUUACUUUGUUGCCUGAGAUUCUCUAUUUCAGAUGCGCUGGAGGAAAAAAAGUUCCCUGCUCCCUAAUUCCUGCAAAGCUCUCUAAGGAGGCCCUGUCACACAGAGCAGUUCAAGAAGGACUCUGGACACAACUGGCGGUGCUGAACAGCACAGACUGGCGGGUUACAUCAGUCUCUCAAGCAGGUUUUUCAGAAAUGCGCGCCAUCUCUUGGGAUCACUGUAUGGUGAGAGAUGUAGAGAUUUUUUUCCAAUGAAGAAGUCUACCAUCAAGAAACUGAAGAGUUCUUUGGACCCACAGGCUGCAGUAUUGCAGAUGAACCGUGGUCAAGGACAGGCACAUGAAGCCCUCAGGGCUAUGUGAGCAGAAGGCGACCAGACUCGCAGUGGAGGAACUUCUUCCAAAAUCUCAGGCGAAGUAUCACCAUUGGAGGACUGCAAAGUGUAAACAGCUGCAGGGGUCACUAUUGAGGGACAGGAACUGAAGGCUCUGGGCUGGGCAGACUUUUGGACCACAAAGAAAUACACAAUGAGGUAUUGGGUACUGAAUGUGUGGGUUUGAUGGUUAUCCUAGUAAUCCUGCUUUAAUACUUCUAAUAUGUAAAUUUGCCUUGAAAAAGGAACCUGUGUACAGAACAUUCCAUGACUUUGAAGCUCUCAGAUGCAUGGUAGACCCGCUUGAAUAAGCAGCUACAUUUCUUGGUGCUUAUCCAAGGCAAUGAAACUGUGAAACUUUUGAGGAUCACCUUUCACAUUGAAUCUGUUUUCUCCAGGAAAUAAAUUCUCACUUCAGCUUGGCCUGUGCUAUAUAAGUAUACAAAUCAAGAUGUUUUUUCUGAUUGAAAAGGCACACAGAGAUUGCUUGAGGCUAUUAAUACCAUUCUUGUGUGGAAUAAAGAGAGAGAACCAAGAGAGAGCUCUAAAGUGACAAUACACACACAAAGAGUGCCGUUUUUCCAACAUGGCACACCUUCAACACCAUUUGCUCAGAGAAACAGUGCUUUCUUUAUAUUUUAGUUACACUUACAAGGAUUCCUGCUACGGUGUAUAAAAGCAGGAUUCAGUACCUGUAUUAAGGCUACAAUAUUGAAAAUUAGCUGAUGAACUACACUAUCUGAAACAUCUGGAUGAAAACCACAAAAUAUUUUAAUUUCAAUUCACAAUUAAUGCUGAAAUGGAAGAGAAAUUCCAAACUAGCUUCUAACCUAGGACUUUUAUGCUCCUACCCUUAACAGCUUUGAAUCAGAAUUUACCUUCCAGUCGAGUCAGAUUCAGUUCCCCUAUAAAAGACAGAAGGCUUCUCAUUGAUUUAAAUGAGGGCUCAAUGAGGUGUCAAUGGAUCAUACAUUUGAAAUUAUUAUUUUAAAAUUUUGUUUCUUCUCUACAUUCUGUAAAGGUUAUUUCUCCAAUAUGAUAGAAAGAAUCAAGGGUCUUACAAGGCACUUCUCUUUUAGUGCAUUUUAAAUAAUCCUUUCCCAGUUGUUGGUAAAAAGAUCGUUAUCUCCUGGAGAUAAGAAUAGGAGAUAGUCCUGUCAUAUAGAUCAUUUUUGCUUGCUUGUCUGAAAUUCUUAUUACAAUGUCAGAUCCUCCACAGAGCAAAGAAAAUGACAGGAACAGCCUGGACAGCAUUCUCUAGUGCUUGCUAAGGUCCUUAGCCUUUAAAUAUUUCAGGCAGCAUCUCUGAUUCAGAAUGAAAAUGGACAAGUGAAAAUAUGGUCUGAGUUUUUCAGGAUGGGAGUUGCGGGAAGAGCCAGAGAUGAGAUUUAUAAGGGUAUGGAAUAGGUUUCUAGUGGAAAGUUAUGGCAAAUUAGCCUGAAUAUAGUACUCAAAUAUAUGGCACGAAGCAAUUCCAGAGAGUUAUGGCAAUAAGCAAAGUAGCCUACAGGUCUUUUUCAUCUGGACAGUUUGGGAAUGAGCCUGUGAUUGCUUUCUCUCACAUCCCAGUCUCUAGCUGGUAAGCAAGAAGGGAAAAAAGUCAAUAUUUGUUUUUAAAAGUGCUCCCAUUAUUUUGUUCUCUGGCCACUAGGUCAUCGAAUUCUCUGUGUACUCAUUACUGUAAAGCUGAGUUGCCCACUUACCCUAUAACGCUCUGGAAACAAUUUUGACUGUAGAAAAGAAAAACAACAGCAUCUUGGAGGUGGUGGCAGGAAAGCAGGGGGACAAAAACAGAAGGGGAAGACUGAAACUGUUCAUCUCAUCACUCCCAUUGCUGCCAUAAGAGCAUUCAGCUCAAGAGAAUAUUUUUCAGGCUGUGUACAAUCUGCUGCGUUUUUAAAUGUCUCAAGUGAUAGGGAGUAUUUUCUCACUACUUACUGGAAAGUUAGAGUGUGUCAGUUCAAACUAAUAAAUAGCUGGUUUGCCGGUGACAUUUACAAGUUGCCUGCUCCACUGAGCUCAGUGCGCAAGUUAACAGCUCACAUUCUAAAGUCAGUUCCUUAAUUAUCUUGUCUUCCCCCCAAAGAUUUGUCAGGAAGCCUUCUGACGAUAUCCCAGAUAGAUGUGCUGUACUAGUGAAGCACGGUUUUGACUUUGACAAGAUUUCUGGGUUAUUGAAGACGCUUUGCAUGGUAGGAGGAAGUUACUCGGCAGUCAUUUCAGUGCUUGUUCCUCCCACCCCCGCCAGAUUUUUCCUUAAAAUGCAUUUCCUUGAGGGUUAUUCUAGUUUUUCAUCAUUCAUUCAACAGAAAGGAAGAAGAAAAAUCUUCCCUCAAACAAUGUUCUGUAUUAUUGAACGCAGUUUGAGGAAAAGAUCUUGUAUGUAGGACAGGGUAGAAUAUAAAUCAACAUGGAAAGGACAAAAGGAAGUUUAACAGAGAGUAUGGAAUCCAGAAUAUUUUCAUAAUGAAAUUCUUGCUUCUUAAAUAGACCUAAGCUCUUUUCCCUUCUUCAACAAUUUUUCCACUGAAAAUUUUUUAUCAGCAGUCACAAGACAGGGAGAGACCAAAAGAUCCUAUUGUUGUACCGUUUCAUGUAUUUUUCUCUCUCCUUUGCGAAACAUUACAGAGGAUAAAUAGAUAUAAAAUUUAGGCUUGUGGAAUUAUACGUUCUGUAUAUGCAGAAAUUAAUUAUACUUCCUUCCAAGUAAAUUCUUACGAUCUCAUCAAAUUACUAUUUUAAAAAUCACGAUUAAAAAAAAACCUUUUCUCUUUGAGUCUCUCAAAUAUACAAAAUGUAAAUUAAUUAUCAGAAAACCGGCCUUAAUGAAUGCAUUAAAUCUGUUCCAUGGACGGUUAUACAGACACUGAAGAUUUCUAUUAUUCAUAUCUACCAUCACCUACUGUGGCAUAACAAUGAAAUCAUCAAGCCAUCUUAUUUCCUGCAACCUCAGCACAGGAAUUAGACAGAAAAUUUUUGAACAAAAAUAUACUGAUUGUGUUAAAAUAUUUUACUCCUGAGCAACUAAAGUAAAAAAAAAAAAUCCCACAAAAGCCUCAAUAUGUUAUUUGACAGAAUACUUGCUUACUGGAAAAAAAAAAAAGAAAUGCAGAAGGGGGCAUCUAUUUUUGCCCUGGUAAAUGUAUAGAGCAUCCAUAUAACCAAGCGGAAAAAUAUGUACUAGCACUAAUGAACAAUACAACCAAAGUGGCUGAAAAUACACUUUCCUAGAAGAUUUAAUACUUUGCUUUAAAGCUAGGAUGGUAUUUCAGAGACCUGUCAGUGCUUUCAUUAACUUAAAUGAUGGAAGACUGUACUCAUGUAAAAUUUGCAGUGUACAUUAAACGAUCAAGGGUAAGAGGAUUCUUAAAGCUAGAAUUAAGAUUCAAAAUGAUCCUGUUAAAUUGUAAAGAUGGUCAAGAUUCAAUGAGAUGACAUUCAAAGUGGACAAGUAGCGAUGUACUAUAUAGUAUCACAGAGAAGACCUGAACAUCAGUUGAGGUUAAUUGAAGUAUUCUGAGUCCUUUCUAAACACAAGAUGAUUGGACUAACUCUGCUCUUGAGACCUUUCCAAUUAUUCUGUGCUUACAUACACAGAUUAAACCGUACCUCGCAACCUAUAACCUAAGGAAAAAGAGUGAAUGCAAUCAUUCUAAGAUGAAACCAUCAGACAUUUCUAAGGGACAAUGACACUUGUGAUAUUGAGAGUAUAUAACCACACAUGUUUUUAAUCUAUAUUCCAGUAAGUAUCUAAAGAUGCAACUGAUGACAGAUCUACCCCAAAGACAAAAGAUUGCAACAUGUUUGUUUUUCUUGGAAGGUACUUAAAAUGAGUUUUAAAAACAAAUGGCAACAAAUGCCAAACAAAAUCCUGUAACCCAGUCUUUGCUUAAGACACUGUUCUGUGACAGUUUUUUUACCUCUGAAAGCUGUCACGGCACGUGUACAAAGAAACAAGGAAGGUAAACAGUGUAACUGACAUUAAUCAUACACUAUUCUCCACUUCAAAUGACCAAAAAAUUAUCUACAUUAUUCAGCAGGUUUGACACUUGCCAUGAUAGUCAAACAAGGCCUAUUCUUCUUUCUUUUUCACUAUUCAGCCUACAAAAUCUCUCUCAUUCCUGCGAAGGACAAGACACAAGAAUUAUUAUUGCAUCCACCCUUCUACAACGAUAAGCUCCACACAAUUCUCCCCAGCCAUUCUUUCCCACACUUCUGACACACAAUACGGGCUGAGAGAUUUAGAUGCUGAAUCCUCUAUAAUGCUGUUAACCACAGCAAGAAAAUAACUCUGCUGACAUAUUUUAAGGUAUUUGUAGUCACAGUUAAUAACGUCGGGCAGUCAGAACUAGAUUUAAAAAAAAUGCUUGAGCUAAGACUACAGGGUUGAUUUUUUAAAAAAUUAUUAUUAUUUUUCAAAAAUGUCUAAUUUGUGUAUUUAAUAGUGGCAUUGACUAAAGACGAGAAAGCCUGUACCCUCAGUGGUGGAAAUGAAAAUGGUAUCCAUCUUUAGAGGGAAGCAAAUUAAAGAACAUAAUUCCUAUGGGCUCUUAUAAAUGGAUAAGCAAAGUGAAUUUGGGACCAAAACUUUAAGCACAGAUCAGUUUUAGUAGUUGUCAUAUAAGCAAUGAGUGCUAAGGCAGAAGGCAUUCAAAGGUUCCAGAUAGCAUUUAGGUAUUUUGAUCCUAAUGAAAAACUAUGGGGCUGAUGACCUCACUGGCAUUCAUUUGGAAAUAUCCCAAGCUUUUGGUAGAUUGUUUUUUAAAAAAAAAACCUCUCCUGGGUGUCUCAGUGGUUUAUACAGUGGCUGUUUGGGCUGAGAAACUUCAUGGGCCUUUCACUAAAUGUGAAAUGAGUAUUCUUUGCUACUUUGGUUUUGCCCAGCUCUAACUUCAAAUGAGUGUCACGCUCUUGGUUUUAAAACUAAAAAAUUGGAAAGCACUUCUCAAGAAAAAUUCUGAAAAGAGAAUGCCAGGGAGUGACUCUGGCUAGAAUCACAGAUUUUUUGCCUGGAGAAAUAAAAUAAUAGGAUGCUACGGGGAAAGGUCAAAGAAUGAAUGAGUACAUUGCAAAGGAGAACUAAAGCAUAGGAUACAUUUGCAGCUGCCAUCUGAAAUACACUUGCUUUUGUUUUUGUUUUUUUUUUUUUUUUCUCCCCAGGAAAAGGCUAUAGUUUAACCAUAAAUUAAACUGCUAUCAUUUAUAUGCUUCUCGAAUCAAGAGAGGUCCAAUAAAUACUUAUGCUGUACAUACUGAUACUUUAUGUUGUGUGUGCUAUAUACAGUUCAUUAGCAGGGCACUCCCAGAUGCACUAGUAUACAAGGUGUUCAGUAUAUUACCGGAGAGCCUUCUGUGGGUCCUUCCUCGAAUUCUGUGUGUUAUUUAAAUGCCUGAUUCCAGUCUCUGGUGCAGCCUGGAGAGUGCUGCUGCUUCCAGCUGCUUCCAGGUUAAUGCUGACAGUUCAUGGAAGGAGUUUCUGCCCAGUUUGGAUGUGGAUGAAAAUUUUCUACAGACUGUGUGCUGAAAAUCCCUUAAAGAAGUAGAAUCCCUUAAAGAACUAGAAAUGCCUCUCCUGAGAAUUUCUUGCCUACAUUUAUUCUCUUUCCUCCUAUUUUAUUAUUUUUGCUUUUCUGUUGUCUCUCUACAGUCACAGAGCUGGGUGAUCUCCCACUCUGAGCAAAGGAUGCUACAUAUUGCACUGUCUCUAUUUCUGUGGCUCUCCAGUAACCAAAAAAUACACCUGAAGAAUGUCAUUGAAGCAUCUGUCUUUCCUAUAUGGAUCUCUGUAGAGCAGACCUCACCAUUAUACAAGGAUUUCUUCACAGCAAUAUUUGUGGGCAAAGCACAGUUUAGAAAGCAAAGCAGACAUUUUUAAACAAAAAUUCCGUAGUAUGUCUUGCAGAAAGAAAACCUCCCUCUCUCCAAAAACAGUCUGGGGAGUAAACUACUUCUUGGAAGCUUACCUGUGUUGGUCAAGUUUCUCCUGACAGGAGGUUGUUUCAUCUCAAAGUUGUUCUGAUAGAAAAUACGUCACUUGGCCUUGUUAAUGUGUCUGAUUAAGUCAGAAUCUGCAGAAAAAAAGUGAGUCCAAGAAGAAUUGUAAACAAUUAUUUUCACACCACCUACUGAAAAAAGAUCUGCUGUUGAACAAGAGAAAGCCACAGCGCAGGUGGGGUGUCAGAGUUGCUUACAGUUAGAAAAACCCCAUAGCCAUAAACUUCACAGCACAUAUACAGCGACAGCCUCUGCACAGGACACGAGGCGUAGAAAAUGAGGCUAUUUUCUGAAUACCAAUGACCCACAGCACUGGCAAUGAGGCUGCCCAUGCUUCACCUGAAGCAAUCAGAAUUGUUUUUGCUUUAAUGCAUGUUCAUUCACUAUGAAUUGUUUUCAAAGUCAUGUUCUUGAACCCGGUAAAUUCUGCCCACCAUUUCCACCUCUGUCCUAUGAAAGGAUGUGGAAAGACAUAGUGGCUAAAACUAACUCUGUUCUCAGCUCUGUCCAGCUGCACAUGUAGACUUGAUUUAACAGAUGCUAUGUUGGUAUUUGGCCCAUUGUUUGCAUGCUGUUUAUCUUCUUCCCCUUGGUCAACUGGAGCUUCAGUGUCUUACAUCCAGGUUUCUCCUUGUAGUAUAUGUUCAGCUGCUUCUACAUGGACCAUUUGGGACAUCAGGCCUUCAGAGAAAAGUGCUGCCUUUUCUUAAGCUACAUUCAAAUGAUGUAAAGUGAAAUAUUGGCUAAUAAAUUAAGAGUACAAUCGA
Long non-coding RNA from Columba livia (rock pigeon), 12394 nucleotides. RefSeq lists it as uncharacterized. NCBI's taxonomy places the organism in Eukaryota, Metazoa, Chordata, Aves, Columbiformes, Columbidae. The record is from RefSeq and is a predicted model, not a curated record. The transcript is spliced from 10 exons.